RNAcentral lists this ribosomal RNA (462 nucleotides) under uncultured bacterium. Its description in RNAcentral is "bacterial SSU rRNA". It matches the Rfam family "Bacterial small subunit ribosomal RNA", at positions 33 to 507 of the family's 1533-position model. The record is from RNAcentral.
AGGACACGCUGGCGGCGUGCUUAACACAUGCAAGUCGAACGGUAAGGCCCUUCGGGGUACACGAGUGGCGAACGGGUGAGUAACACGUGGGUGAUCUGCCCUGCACUUCGGGAUAAGCCUGGGAAACUGGGUCUAAUACCGGAUAGGACUCCUGGCUUCAUGGUUGGGGGUGUAAAGCUUUUGCGGUGUGGGAUGGGCCCGCGGCCUAUCAGCUUGUUGGUGGGGUAAUGGCCUACCAAGGCGACGACGGGUAGCCGGCCUGAGAGGGUGACCGGCCACACUGGGACUGAGAUACGGCCCAGACUCCUACGGGAGGCAGCAGUGGGGAAUAUUGCACAAUGGGCGCAAGCCUGAUGCAGCGACGCCGCGUGAGGGAUGACGGCCUUCGGGUUGUAAACCUCUUUCAAUAGGGACGAAGCGCAAGUGACGGUACCUAUAGAAGAAGGACCGGCCAACUACGUG